This 22-nucleotide transfer RNA is filed under the name Fenerbahce formosus. RNAcentral describes it as "partial tRNA-Glu". Lineage: Eukaryota; Metazoa; Chordata; Actinopteri; Cyprinodontiformes; Nothobranchiidae. The record is from RNAcentral.
UAAUUGUUUUUGUAGUUGAAUA